This 643-nucleotide ribosomal RNA is filed under the name Fusarium armeniacum. RNAcentral's name for it is "eukaryotic LSU rRNA". It matches the Rfam family "Eukaryotic large subunit ribosomal RNA", at positions 1 to 654 of the family's 3401-position model. The record is from RNAcentral. Lineage: Eukaryota; Fungi; Ascomycota; Sordariomycetes; Hypocreales; Nectriaceae.
AACUUCUGAAUGUUGACCUCGGAUCAGGUAGGAAUACCCGCUGAACUUAAGCAUAUCAAUAAGCGGAGGAAAAGAAACCAACAGGGAUUGCCCUAGUAACGGCGAGUGAAGCGGCAACAGCUCAAAUUUGAAAUCUGGCUUUCGGGCCCGAGUUGUAAUUUGUAGAGGAUGACUUUGAUGCGGUGCCUUCCGAGUUCCCUGGAACGGGACGCCAUAGAGGGUGAGAGCCCCGUCUGGUUGGAUGCCAAAUCUCUGUAAGUCUCCUUCGACGAGUCGAGUAGUUUGGGAAUGCUGCUCUAAAUGGGAGGUAUAUGUCUUCUAAAGCUAAAUACCGGCCAGAGACCGAUAGCGCACAAGUAGAGUGAUCGAAAGAUGAAAAGCACUUUGAAAAGAGAGUUAAAAAGUACGUGAAAUUGUUGAAAGGGAAGCGUUUAUGACCAGACUUGGGCUUGGUUAAUCAUCUGGGGUUCUCCCCAGUGCACUUUUCCAGUCCAGGCCAGCAUCAGUUUUCGCCGGGGGAUAAAGGCUUCGGGAAUGUGGCUCCCCUCGGGGAGUGUUAUAGCCCGUUGUGUAAUACCCUGGCGGGGACUGAGGUUCGCGCUUCUGCAAGGAUGCUGGCGUAAUGGUCAUCAACGACCCGUCU